RNAcentral lists this ribosomal RNA (224 nucleotides) under uncultured soil bacterium. RNAcentral describes it as "partial 16S ribosomal RNA". It matches the Rfam family "Bacterial small subunit ribosomal RNA", at positions 26 to 280 of the family's 1533-position model. The record is from RNAcentral.
AGAACGAACGCUGGCGGCAUGCCUAAUACAUGCAAGUCGAACGAACACUUCGGUGUUAGUGGCGCACGGGUGCGUAACGCGUGGGAAUCUGCCCUUGGGUUCGGAAUAACAGUUGGAAACGACUGCUAAUACCGGAUGAUAUCGAAAGAUCAAAGAUUUAUCGCCCAGGGAUGAGCCCGCGUAGGAUUAGCUAGUUGGUGAGGUAAGGCUCACAAGGCGACGAU